This 507-nucleotide ribosomal RNA is filed under the name Alloalcanivorax venustensis. RNAcentral describes it as "SSU rRNA". It matches the Rfam family "Eukaryotic small subunit ribosomal RNA", at positions 1186 to 1709 of the family's 1831-position model. Lineage: Bacteria; Pseudomonadati; Pseudomonadota; Gammaproteobacteria; Oceanospirillales; Alcanivoracaceae. The record is from RNAcentral.
CGGCUUAAUUUGACUCAACACGGGAAACCUCACCCGGCCCGGACACGGACAGGAUUGACAGAUUGAUAGCUCUUUCUCGAUUCCGUGGGUGGUGGUGCAUGGCCGUUCUUAGUUGGUGGAGCGAUUUGUCUGGUUAAUUCCGAUAACGAACGAGACUCUGGCAUGCUAACUAGUUACGCGACCCCCGAGCGGUCGGCGUCCCCCAACUUCUUAGAGGGACAAGUGGCGUUCAGCCACCCGAGAUUGAGCAAUAACAGGUCUGUGAUGCCCUUAGAUGUCCGGGGCUGCACGCGCGCUACACUGACUGGCUCAGCGUGUGCCUACCCUACGCCGGCAGGCGCGGGUAACCCGUUGAACCCCAUUCGUGAUGGGGAUCGGGGAUUGCAAUUAUUCCCCAUGAACGAGGAAUUCCCAGUAAGUGCGGGUCAUAAGCUUGCGUUGAUUAAGUCCCUGCCCUUUGUACACACCGCCCGUCGCUACUACCGAUUGGAUGGUUUAGUGAGGCCC